UGCCCAGUAGCCAAGCGGUAAGGCAUUAGGCUCUGACCCUAACAUUUCAUAGGUUCGAAUCCUAUCUGGGCAGCCA
This 76-nucleotide transfer RNA is filed under the name Clostridium sp. Its description in RNAcentral is "tRNA-Gln". It matches the Rfam family "tRNA". Rfam says of the family: Transfer RNA (tRNA) molecules are approximately 80 nucleotides in length. RNAcentral also lists the same sequence under 5 other names. Lineage: Bacteria; Bacillati; Bacillota; Clostridia; Eubacteriales; Clostridiaceae. The record is from RNAcentral.